GGUCACUCCAACCCCUGUGAACAUACCUAUACGUUGCCUCGGCGGAUCAGCCCGCGCCCUGUAAAAAGGGACGGCCCGCCCGAGGACCCUAAACUCUGUUUUUAGUGGAACUUCUGAGUAAAACAAACAAAUAAAUCAAAACUUUCAACAACGGAUCUCUUGGUUCUGGCAUCGAUGAAGAACGCAGCAAAAUGCGAUAAGUAAUGUGAAUUGCAGAAUUCAGUGAAUCAUCGAAUCUUUGAACGCACAUUGCGCCCGCCAGUAUUCUGGCGGGCAUGCCUGUUCGAGCGUCAUUUCAACCCUCAAGCUCAGCUUGGUGUUGGGACUCGCGGUAACCCGCGUUCCCCAAAUCGAUUGGCGGUCACGUCGAGCUUCCAUAGCGUAGUAAUCAUACACCUCGUUACUGGUAAUCGUCGCGGCCACGCCGUAAAACCCCAACUUCUGAAUGUUGACCUCGGAUCAGGUAGGAAUACCCGCUGAACUUAAGCAUAUCAAAAGGCCGGAGGAA
RNAcentral lists this ribosomal RNA (508 nucleotides) under fungal sp. XKGKDF14. Its description in RNAcentral is "eukaryotic LSU rRNA". The stretch from base 140 to 293 matches the Rfam family "5.8S ribosomal RNA". Lineage: Eukaryota; Fungi. The record is from RNAcentral.